This 455-nucleotide long non-coding RNA is filed under the name Mytilus galloprovincialis (Mediterranean mussel). The record is from RNAcentral. Lineage: Eukaryota; Metazoa; Mollusca; Bivalvia; Mytilida; Mytilidae.
UCAGAGUAAAUUAUUUAAUAUGGUUAUAAAUUGUAGGUUACUUACUUUAUUUGAAAAUAAUAUAUGUCACCAUCAACUAGGCUUUAAGAAGAAUAGUAGGACUUCAGAUGGUAUCUUUAUUGUAAAGACUCUGUUUAAUAAAUAUAUAAAUUAUAAAAAGAAAAAGAUUUAUGGUUGUUUUGUAGACCUAAAAAAGGCAUUCGAUUCAGUGUGGAGGUUAGGUCUUUUGUACAAAAUAACAAAAAAUGAGAAUAUUGGUGUAAAAUUUUACAAUUUGAUAAAAAAUAUGUAUAAGAAUACUGAAGCUUCAGUGAAAUCAAAGGAGAAUAUAUCUGAAUAUGUCUCUAUUGAUAGAGGAGUGAAACAAGGGGAUAAUAUGAGUCCAAACUUAUUUAAUGUUUACAUAAAUGAUCUACCAGAAAUAUUUGAUGAAAGUUGUAAACCAGUGACUCUGC